Thalassophryne amazonica is the source of this 154-nucleotide long non-coding RNA. RefSeq lists it as uncharacterized. Lineage: Eukaryota; Metazoa; Chordata; Actinopteri; Batrachoidiformes; Batrachoididae. The record is from RefSeq and is a predicted model, not a curated record. The transcript has 3 exons.
CAAAAACGGCAAAGUUUAUUAUUUUGAACAUUAGAUAUCUUUCCUUUGUGGUGUAUUCAAUUGAAUAUACGUUGAAGAGGAUUUGCAAAUCAUUGUAUCCUGUUUUUAUUUACAUUUCACACAAUGUCCCAACUUCAUUGGAAUUGGGGUUGUA